RNAcentral lists this ribosomal RNA (468 nucleotides) under uncultured bacterium. RNAcentral's name for it is "partial 16S ribosomal RNA". It matches the Rfam family "Bacterial small subunit ribosomal RNA", at positions 28 to 507 of the family's 1533-position model. The record is from RNAcentral.
GAUGAACGCUGGCGGCGUGCCUAACACAUGCAAGUCGAACGGAAAGGCCCUGCUCUUGCGGGGUGCUCGUGUGGCGAACGCGUGAGUAAAACGUGUGUAACCUGUCCUUGACUUUGGGAUAACUUCAGGAGACUGGGGCUAUAAUCGGAUAGGAGCUCCUGCACCACGGUGGGGGAUGGAAAGUUUCGGCGGUUGGGGAUGGACUCGCGGCUUAUCAGCUUGUUGGUGGGGUAGUGGCUUACCAAGGUUUUGACGGGUAGCCGGCCUGAGAGGGUGACCGGCCACAUUGGGACUGAGAUACGGCCCAGACUCCUACGGGAGGCAGCAGUGGGGAAUAUUGCACAAUGGGCGGAAGCCUGAUGCAGCAACGCCGCGUGCGGGAUGACGGCCUUCGGGUUGUAAACCGCUUUCGCCUGUGACGAAGCGUGAGUGACGGUAAUGGGUAAAGAAGCACCGGCUAACUACGUG